ACUCCUACGGGAGGCAGCAGUAGGGAAUUUUUCGCAAUGGACGCAAGUCUGACGAAGCAAUGCCGCGUGAGGGAUGAAGGUUUUCGGAUUGUAAACCUCUGUUAUAAGGGAAGAAAACCUGAUAUAGGAAAUGAUAUCAGCUUGACGGUACCUUAUCAGAAAGGGACGGCUAACUACGUGCCAGCAGCCGCGGUAAUACGUAGGUCCCGAGCGUUAUCCGGAAUUAUUGGGCGUAAAGAGCAUGUAGGCGGUUUAUUAAGUCUGGUGUGAAAGCUAGUGGCUCAACCACUAAAUUGCAUUGGAUACUGGUAAACUAGAAUACUGGAGGGGCAAGUGGAAUUCCAUGUGUAGCGGUGGAAUGCGUAGAUAUAUGGAGGAACACCAAUGGCGAAGGCAGCUUGCUGGACAGUAAUUGACGCUGAGAUGCGAAAGCGUGGGUAGCAAACAGGAUUAGAUACCCUGGUAGA
Molecule: ribosomal RNA, 467 nt
Filed under: uncultured bacterium
Lineage: Bacteria
Description: bacterial SSU rRNA
Rfam family: Bacterial small subunit ribosomal RNA
Source: RNAcentral